AUACGUAGGGUGCGAGCGUUGUCCGGAAUUACUGGGCGUAAAGAGCUCGUAGGUGGUUUGUCGCGUCGUCUGUGAAAUUCCGGGGCUUAACUCCGGGCGUGCAGGCGAUACGGGCAUAACUGGAGUACUGUAGGGGAGACUGGAAUUCCUGGUGUAGCGGUGAAAUGCGCAGAUAUCAGGAGGAACACCGGUGGCGAAGGCGGGUCUCUGGGCAGUAACUGACGCUGAGGAGCGAAAGCAUGGGUAGCGAACAGGAUUAGAUACCCUGGUAGUCCAUGCCGUAAACGGUGGGCGCUAGGUGUAGGGGUCUUCCACGACUUCUGUGCCGUAGCUAACGCAUUAAGCGCCCCGCCUGGGGAGUACGGCCGCAAGGCUAAAACUCAAAGGAAUUGACGGGG
This 398-nucleotide ribosomal RNA is filed under the name uncultured bacterium. RNAcentral's name for it is "partial 16S ribosomal RNA". It matches the Rfam family "Bacterial small subunit ribosomal RNA", at positions 523 to 918 of the family's 1533-position model. The record is from RNAcentral.